GUGUCAGCCGCCGCGGUAAGACGAACCGAGCGAACGUUGUUCGGAAUAACUGGGCUUAAAGGGCGCGUAGGCGGGCUGUCAAGUCUGGGGUGAAAUCCCGCGGCUCAACCGUGGAACUGCCUCAGAUACUGACGGUCUCGAGGGAGGUAGGGGCGAGCGGAACUGUGAGUGGAGCGGUGAAAUGCGUUGAUAUUCACAGGAACUCCGGUGGCGAAGGCGGCUCGCUGGACCUCUUCUGACGCUGAGGCGCGAAAGCCAGGGGAGCAAACGGGAUUAGAUACCCUAGUAGUCC
This 292-nucleotide ribosomal RNA is filed under the name uncultured bacterium. RNAcentral's name for it is "partial 16S ribosomal RNA". It matches the Rfam family "Bacterial small subunit ribosomal RNA", at positions 505 to 796 of the family's 1533-position model. The record is from RNAcentral.